GUAUGAAUUAUUAUAUGAUUGUGCUUUUUUCUGCUGAAUGAUCAAUCAUAUUCAUAUUGAUUGAUUUCACCUGCGGCAACAUGUAACUCCCCUGUAACGAAAGCCUUAUGCCAUGGAGUCCGUCGGCAUGGAGCGCCUGCAACUUCAUGGGAACAACCAGCACCAAAGAGGUGCACUCUUUAAUUUGGCGGCUUGGUUCUCAGUGGUUGAAAGAUUGUCUACCGAUUAUGUGUUCAUCUCCUACUGUUAAGUACAUGACCACAAUAAAAAUCAUGGAAUCGCAAUGUUCUGUAUGUGUUGCAGCACCAUGGAUUGCCUUACUUACAUGAGCAUUGAUGCUAGCUGGUGUAACGGGAUUGUUUUGCUUACAUGAGCGCUGAUGCAACUUGGUGUAACGGGUACAAUGGGUUCAUUACUUUAGUUUUGAGAUUUGGAAGAGGGUCACUCAACAAAAGGCGUUCCCAAGGAAGCAAGUACUGUGAUAUGCCUAUGUGAGCAAUCCAGUGGAUUAUUGUUCUUGAUCUAAUUUCAGGUCUGUCUGCCCUAGGUACCGGAGGAUAAAGCCCAGGAAAUGAUUACAGAGGCAGUAAAAAAGUUGGUAUUGUGCUUGUAUGAAAUUGCACCUUCUAUAUGCAUGCUUGUUUUAAAGAUACUGCUAUGCUAACUGACAAUAUUUAAUUACUUCAGAGUAUAAAACCCAGAUUAUGUGAUCAGUAUAUCAGGAAGAAGAUAGACAUUGCCCGAGCUAUCAUACUGAUUACUGUGGUAGUCUAUCCUAAUCUUUGUUUGUAAUUGUGCAUAAGGUUGAUAUCUUCUCUGUUUAUGGUAAUCAAAUUAUUUUUGCCUAUAAACUACUGUACGUACAUGAUUGCUGAAAAGUAUUUACUGCAAAGAUAAAACAUAUAGCCAAACAAUCAUAGAGAUACGUGGUAUUAGAGCUUCUAAGUAAUGUAACUAUUAUGAUUGUAAACCUAUCUCCUUUUCCAGAUAUGCAUGUUAGAGAAACUCAUUUUUCUGAUAUUUAAAAGCUACUCCCUCUGUCCCAUAAUAUAAGAGUGUUUUUUAUAUUAUGGGAUGGAGGGAGUAUCUUCAUGUUCAUUAUAGGUGCAAGAUGGCUGCAAUAAUCUCCAUCCAGAACAAUGGUUGGUGUGUUUGUUCUUUGGUUAUAUAGGAUUGUACACUUGAAACAAUGUAAUGUGAACUAACAAGGUGGUUCCUGCUUUAUAUAAGAUAUCCUUCCCACAUUUUUAAAACCUUGAUGUACUAUCACUAAACCUAUGGUCCUUCGGCUAGAGUCGGUUCGAAUGGAUCUUAAGUAACUUCCAUGUUUUGUGUCAUCAUAUAUGUAUGAAUUUUCCUAUCAAUCCAUUGACAAAAUAGACGGGCACGUACCACAUUAUUUCACUAGAAAACAAUAAAAUCCACCCAUUCAACUAACCAAUGAAUGAGUUGGUUUAUGUAAAAGUAACGGUUAUGUUUUAUGUCACCAUAUAUCUAAGAAUUUUUCUAUAAAUCUAUUGACAAAAUAGACGGACACAACAACGAACGCUAUCAUGAUCUAAGGAUGGGACUAUAUAUUGUUGGUGCUAUAACACAUCAUCUCUUUUAGCAGUGUUGUGUUCUCAUGUCUUCCUAGAAAUAAUUUAACAUUAGAUCGUCAUACAAGUUUUAAAUUUGAUAGCUGGUAAUAUCCCAUAACUUAACUUAUCUAUAGUUAAAGUGAUUUCUAAAGUACACCAAUGUUAAAUUAUGAGCUUGUGAGUAAAGUUAUUAUGGACAAAUGGCACAUAUAUUUACAAACUCCUACCAUUUUAUGGUGAAAAUGGAUGAGCGCAGCAAUGCGCGCCGUCGAAGAUCUAGUGGACGUUGAUGAUCGCUUGGCAUAACAUGUACAAGGAGCAAAUUUUAGAAUUCCACACAAGAUUUCGUACUCGCUUUUGCAUGCAUUUUUGUUUGUCAUUUGAGCUUUUUAUUCAUCUGAAUGGUGAUGCAGGCAGACAUGGCGGAUGUAAGUCAUGAGUCAAUGUUGGGGUACUCUUAUAUUGCCAACAAGAUGUUUGAUAGUGAGGAUGAAGGUUAUAUAUUCUAUAAAAAAUAUGGUCUUGAGAAAGGUUUUAGUGUCCGGAGAAGCUAUGUUGAGUGGGAUGGAUCCAUUAAGGAAAAUUGUGUGUAGUCGUGAAGGGGUUCAUGAAGAGAAGCACAUGAAGAGGAAGAUGGAAGAUAGAAAGAGGAGGCCACGAAGUAUAACUCAUGUAGGGUGUAAAGCUAAAUUGGUGAUUGCAAGACAAGAGGAAACAUGUCAGUGGUUUGUGAAGGAUUUCAUCGAUGAACACAACCAUCCUCUAGCCCCACGGGGUCUUUCGUGUCUUUUGAGUUCACACAAAAGAAUUAGCGAUGAGCAAAAAACGGACAUUGCAGAAAUGGAAAAAUCUGGGAUCAGGAAACACCAUAUUAUGGAUAUUUUGUGCAUGCAAUACAGUGGAUAUGAUGAGGUUGGAUGCACGACGAGGGACAUUUACAAUUUCUGCCAUGCUAACAAGCAGGAAUCAAUCGCUUCCGGUGAUCAAUCACAUGGUGGCGCGGCGAGAGCAAGAUUCAGAUUUUUUUUCUUCAGCUACUUGGUUGAUGAUGUUGGCCAUCUAAAGGGACUUUUCUGGUGUGAUAGUCAACCCCGACUUGAAUACGAGGCUUUUGGAGACAUUAUUGUUUUUGAUAGCACAUAUAGAACCAAUAAGUACAAUCUGCCAUUUAUGUCAUUUGUCAAGUUGAGUCACCACCGCGGCACUGUUAUUUUUGGAUGUGGUAUCAUUUCUCAUGAAACAAGCCAGGCAUACGAGUGGAUGUUACAGACCUCUUCUGAUGCCAUGGGAUAGAAGCAUCUGAUAUCUGUGAUCACGGAUGGAGACCUUGCAUUGAGAGAGCAAUCAGGGUGGUGUGGCCUGACUCAAACCAUAGGCUGUGUAUAUGGCACAUUCAGUCAUUUGCAUGAUGAGGCGCAAAGGAGGAAUUCAGAUCUUCCAUAUAUG
This is a long non-coding RNA of Triticum dicoccoides, 3026 nucleotides long. RefSeq lists it as uncharacterized. NCBI's taxonomy places the organism in Eukaryota, Viridiplantae, Streptophyta, Magnoliopsida, Poales, Poaceae. The record is from RefSeq and is a predicted model, not a curated record. The transcript is spliced from 5 exons.